UAGGGAAUCUUCGGCAAUGGGGGGCAACCCUGACCGAGCAACGCCGCGUGAGUGAAGAAGGUUUUCGGAUCGUAAAGCUCUGUUGUAAGAGAAGAACGUGUGUGAGAGUGGAAAGUUCACACAGUGACGGUAACUUACCAGAAAGGGACGGCUAACUACGUGCCAGCAGCCGCGGUAAUACGUAGGUCCCGAGCGUUGUCCGGAUUUAUUGGGCGUAAAGCGAGCGCAGGCGGUUUAAUAAGUCUGAAGUUAAAGGCAGUGGCUUAACCAUUGUUCGCUUUGGAAACUGUUAAACUUGAGUGCAGAAGGGGAGAGUGGAAUUCCAUGUGUAGCGGUGGAAUGCGUAGAUAUCUGGAAGAACACCAAAGG
This 369-nucleotide ribosomal RNA is filed under the name uncultured Streptococcus sp. RNAcentral describes it as "bacterial SSU rRNA". It matches the Rfam family "Bacterial small subunit ribosomal RNA", at positions 355 to 715 of the family's 1533-position model. Lineage: Bacteria; Bacillati; Bacillota; Bacilli; Lactobacillales; Streptococcaceae. The record is from RNAcentral.